This 682-nucleotide ribosomal RNA is filed under the name Cryptococcus sp. AtNov07DNX-Y15. RNAcentral's name for it is "LSU rRNA". It matches the Rfam family "Eukaryotic large subunit ribosomal RNA", at positions 44 to 664 of the family's 3401-position model. Lineage: Eukaryota; Fungi; Basidiomycota; Tremellomycetes; Tremellales; Cryptococcaceae. The record is from RNAcentral.
GCCACGACGGAGGAAAAGAAACUAACAAGGAUUCCCCUAGUAACGGCGAGUGAACCGGGAAGAGCUCAAAUUUGUAAUCUGGCCCUUGGGUCCGAGUUGUAAUCUAUAGAGGCGUUUUCCGUGCCGGACCGUGUCCAAGUCCCUUGGAACAGGGUAUCAAAGAGGGUGACAAUCCCGUACUUGACACGACGACCGGUGCUCUGUGAUACGUCUUCAACGAGUCGAGUUGUUUGGGAAUGCAGCUCAAAAUGGGUGGUAAAUUCCAUCUAAAGCUAAAUAUUGGCGAGAGACCGAUAGCGAACAAGUACCGUGAGGGAAAGAUGAAAAGCACUUUGGAAAGAGAGUUAAACAGUACGUGAAAUUGUUAAAAGGGAAACGAUUGAAGUCAGUCGUGUUGGUCGGAUUCAGCCUGGUCUCCGGGUGUAUUUCCUUCCAACGGGUCAACAUCAGUUUGGAUCGGCGGAUAAAGAUGGAGGGAAGGUGGCAUCCUCGGAUGUGUUAUAGCCCUCUGUUGCAUACGCUGGUCCGGACUGAGGCAUGCAGCUUGCCUUUAUGGCCGGGGUUCGCCCACGUUCGAGCUUAGGAUGUUGACGUAAUGGCUUUAAACGACCCGUCUUGAAACACGGGACCAGAAAAGCGUAUGCAACAGAGGGCUAUGACACAUCCGAGGAUGCCACCUUCC